GCCGAUGUAGCUCAGUGGUAGAGCAGCUGUUUCGUAAACAGCAGGUCACAGGUUCGAAUCCCGUCAUCGGCU
Molecule: transfer RNA, 72 nt
Filed under: Candidatus Melainabacteria bacterium RIFCSPHIGHO2_02_FULL_34_12
Lineage: Bacteria; Bacillati; Candidatus Melainabacteria
Description: tRNA-Thr
Rfam family: tRNA
About the family: Transfer RNA (tRNA) molecules are approximately 80 nucleotides in length.
Source: RNAcentral